GGCCUGAGAGGGUGAUCCCCCACACUGGUACUGAGACACGGACCAGACUCCUACGGGAGGCAGCAGUGAGGAAUAUUGGACAAUGGGUGAGAGCCUGAUCCAGCCAUCCCGCGUGAAGGACGACGGCCCUAUGGGUUGUAAACUUCUUUUGUAUAGGGAUAAACCUACCCUCGUGAGGGUAGCUGAAGGUACUAUACGAAUAAGCACCGGCUAACUCCGUGCCAGCAGCCGCGGUAAUACGGAGGGUGCAAGCGUUAUCCGGAUUUAUUGGGUUUAAAGGGUCCGUAGGCGGAUGUGUAAGUCAGUGGUGAAAUCUCACAGCUUAACUGUGAAACUGCCAUUGAUACUGCAUGU
Molecule: ribosomal RNA, 354 nt
Filed under: bacterium LimB-10-A-289
Lineage: Bacteria
Also listed under: 5 other names
Description: bacterial SSU rRNA
Rfam family: Bacterial small subunit ribosomal RNA
Source: RNAcentral